This 492-nucleotide ribosomal RNA is filed under the name uncultured bacterium. RNAcentral's name for it is "partial 16S ribosomal RNA". It matches the Rfam family "Bacterial small subunit ribosomal RNA", at positions 29 to 507 of the family's 1533-position model. The record is from RNAcentral.
AGUGAACACUGGCGGUAGGCCUAACACAUGCAAGUCGAACGGCAGCACAGUAAGAGCUUGCUCUUACGGGUGGCGAGUGGCGGACGGGUGAGGAAUACAUCGGAAUCUACUUUUUCGUGGGGGAUAACGUAGGGAAACUUACGCUAAUACCGCAUACGACCUACGGGUGAAAGCAGUGGAUCUUCGGACCUUGCGCGAUUGAAUGAGCCGAUGUCGGAUUAGCUAGUUGGCGGGGUAAAGGCCCACCAAGGGGACGAUCCGUAGCUGGUGUGAGAGGAUGAUAGGCCACACUGGAACUGAGACACGGACCAGACUCCUACGGGAGGCAGCAGUGGGGAAUAUGGGACAAUGGGGGCAAGCCUGAUCCAGCCAUACCGAGUGGGUGACGAAGGCCUUCCGGUUGUAAAGCCCUUUUGUUGGGAAAGAAAAGCAGCAGGUUAAUACCACGCUGUUCUGACGGUACCCAAAGAAUAAGCACCGGCUAACUUCGUG